GAUGAGAGGAACACAUGUGGGGUAUGUGUAACACUUGAGCACUCUCUCUAAUGUUCCAGAACUUUGCUCCCUCUUCUCCUUUCUUCGAGGACAAGCAUAAACCUACCCGACAGUGCCUUCCGAGUAAGCCUCGGGAGCUAUAUUUUCUAUAUUUUGAAUUUGAGAUUUCGAAAAGACAAUUUACUUAUAAUUUAAUUUGGUACAAUGAUCCACAUAAAAUACACAAAUAAGUCUUGUAUGAACUCGACUUAGAACUUAGAAGAUGUUGUUCAAGCUUAUGGUAUGAUGGUUACGAUACAGUACUCCACUAAUAAGUCAUCCUAAUAUAUGCACACCUUCACUGAAUUUUGUUUUCAAUUAAUUCUUGAGGGCCAAUGAAAGCGACCACUCUUCUUAGCCUAUUCUUGUUUUGUCUGAGCAAUUUUUCAUCUGAUUAGUCACCACUAGCAAUCGAACACGUCGCCCAUUUUAUUCUCUGAUGAGUAAUAGAUUGGCAAUUGGAUAUAGACGCUACACAUUGAACUAGUUAUGAGUAUUUAGUAUAGCACACUAUUUGCACAAAUAAAAUAAAUAAUUAUUGGAUGAUGAAAAUAAUACAGUGGAUGAGUUUCACAACGUAUUUAACAUCAACACAACAACUAGUUAGUAACAACUGAAUGCAUAGAAAAUUUCACAUUAAUUCUGCCCAAUUUGCGAAGAAAAUUAUUUACUAGUUCUAAGCAUAUACUGCUAAUUCGAUAAGCAUAAGAUAGUCACAAUCCCACAAAUGUAAAGCAAUUUAUAGGCCUAACUAGGAUAAGACUUAUCUUUGGCAAUUCAUAAUUGCAAAAUGUAAAGUGCAGUUUAAUGAUGAUUGAUGAUUGAAAGCAAGAAACAGCACACUAACACACAGUAUCUUUCUUUGUUCCAAAAUACACUAAUUGAUUAAGAUAAGCACCUUAUUCAAAAUAAAAAACAAAGAUUAGUGGGUGGUUCUUACACUCAGCAAUUCCUAGGUUGAAUCUGUUUUAUGUUAAACUAAAUUAUAUUAAAAUUUGUACCAAUUCCCAUAAAUCAUGGAUCAAGAAAUAUUGUUGACUGUUUUAAAAAAACAGUGCUAUAAAAGCUUGUCUAGGCCUUAAAGGGAGGAAUAUGAGAAAGGGAAGCAACAACAAAUCCAUAUUUUUAUUCUUCUUUUUAGUGUCGUAGCAACACUUUCUCAAAGUGUGUGCAUGAUCUGAUCUGAUUUCACCGACCUGAAAAUUUUCUGAAAUCUAUGGAUUUUAUGCAUAUAGUAUUGUUCAUUUCUACUCCUAUUUCAUGUCUUAUUUUACAAAAUUUAAGCUACAUGCCUACUUAAUAACACUUACUAAACACACUUAUAAUCAUCACUUUUAUUAUUUGUUACUCCCUUCAUCCCCAAAUAACUUCUUUUAUUAUCAAAAUUUGUAUAUUAAGAUAGUUGAAAUGAGAUACUUAUUCAUAAAGAAUGUUCAUUUUCAAAUAGGACACUUAUUCGAAGACACAUGAAGUGCUUGUGAUUUUUGAAUCUUGAUAAGCUUCUUGUAUGUAAGGUAAAACAACAAUAAAUAUUGCAAUCAAUAUACCCCUCUAAAAUAACCUUUCUUCCUACCUCAGAAUCACCUAAAGAUGACAUUUUUUUUUCGAUUCCCAUAAUCUCGUCCUUGGGUUCAAGACUUGAAGUGAUGUUUCACAAAAGAAACACACAACUACGAGCACAAAAACAGCAUUAUAGGAUAGGCCAAUGGCAUCAAAUAUCAUUUGCAGUAAAGAAAUUUGACUGCUCGACCACCCAAAUUCACUACAUACGUGGCACAAAUGGUUUCAAUAUGUAAAAACAAUCAAUGCCUAAUUGCAAAGAGCAAUGACCCACCAAAUUCAGCUACAAGACAGAUAGCAGUUUAUAUAUAACAGCAGCCUCUGCAACAGCCACCUAUCUUGUUACUAAUAAAUUUGAGCUGCCUACGUAUCUCUCUCUCUCUCUCCUAUUAUUUGAUCAUCAUCAUCUCAUUCCCCAAUUCUCCACCACCCUCUUUUAUCACCUCACUCUUCUGCUUCACUCUCAAACCUUCUAAAAACCUCUUGUUUUUUUAACAAUUUUUGUUUUCAUAAAUUCUUGCUCAAUGUGCUGUUUUUUUUAAUUGCAGUGUUCUUUCUUGCAGAAAUUCAGCAAAUUUAAGUACAUUUUACUGAAUUUUUGGAGUUUUCCCUCAGUUUCAAUCACUCUACUUGGGUUUAGCAGAAAAGCAACAAAAAAUCUGAAAUUGAGUUGUUAAAUCGCGAAAAUGAGGAAGAUACCUUCUUUAGGAGCAAGAGUAACAAUGGC
Molecule: long non-coding RNA, 2326 nt
Filed under: Salvia miltiorrhiza (redroot sage)
Lineage: Eukaryota; Viridiplantae; Streptophyta; Magnoliopsida; Lamiales; Lamiaceae
Description: long non-coding RNA (SMIL_LNC001115)
Source: RNAcentral